GAUGAACGCUGGCGGCGUGCCUAAUACAUGCAAGUCGAGCGAACAGACGAGGAGCUUGCUCCUCUGACGUUAGCGGCGGACGGGUGAGUAACACGUGGAUAACCUACCUAUAAGACUGGGAUAACUUCGGGAAACCGGAGCUAAUACCGGAUAAUAUAUUGAACCGCAUGGUUCAAUAGUGAAAGACGGUUUUGCUGUCACUUAUAGAUGGAUCCGCGCCGCAUUAGCUAGUUGGUAAGGUAACGGCUUACUAAGGCGACGAUGCGUAGCCGACCUGAGAGGGUGAUCGGCCACACUGGAACUGAGACACGGUCCAGACUCCUACGGGAGGCAGCAGUAGGGAAUCUUCCGCAAUGGGCGAAAGCUUGACGGAGCAACGCCGCGUGAGUGAUGAAGGUCUUCGGAUCGUAAAACUCUGUUAUUAGGGAAGAACAAAUGUGUAAGUAACUAUGCACGUCUUGACGGUACCUAAUCAGAAAGCCACGGCUAACUACGUG
RNAcentral lists this ribosomal RNA (497 nucleotides) under uncultured bacterium. RNAcentral describes it as "partial 16S ribosomal RNA". It matches the Rfam family "Bacterial small subunit ribosomal RNA", at positions 28 to 507 of the family's 1533-position model. The record is from RNAcentral.